Microcebus murinus (gray mouse lemur) is the source of this 79-nucleotide microRNA precursor. Ensembl annotates it as microRNA 484. Its record names the gene MIR484. Lineage: Eukaryota; Metazoa; Chordata; Mammalia; Primates; Cheirogaleidae. The record is from Ensembl.
AGCCUCGUCAGGCUCAGUCCCCUCCCGAUAAACCCCUAAAUAGCGACUUUCCCGGGGGGUGAGCCUGGCUUUUUUGGCG